CUAAAUGUUGCGAUUAGAAAUAGUAGAAGUGAAGAAACCUUUCAGAGAGCCGUUGGGUGGUGCGAAACGGCAGCGUGGCUCACUUUGAACUCGUCUAUGAACUGCGGCCUGAUAUGUAGGGUUUGCCGGAAUUCCACCGUUACAAGGAUAGAUGGUGAUGGCCAUCGAAGAAGAGCAUUUCAGCAUUGCUGAAAUGAAUUAGAGUGGUACCGCGAGUUCAACCUCGUCUCUAUA
RNAcentral lists this non-coding RNA (234 nucleotides) under Brevibacillus panacihumi. RNAcentral's name for it is "T-box sequence". It matches the Rfam family "T-box leader". From Rfam's summary of the family: Uncharged tRNA acts as the effector for transcription antitermination of genes in the T-box leader family. T-boxes are found upstream of many aminoacyl-tRNA synthetase genes and some amino acid biosynthetic genes usually in Gram-positive bacteria. The record is from RNAcentral. Lineage: Bacteria; Bacillati; Bacillota; Bacilli; Caryophanales; Paenibacillaceae.